UACGUAGGUGGCGAGCGUUGUCCGGAAUUAUUGGGCGUAAAGAGCGUGUAGGUGGGAUGGUCAGUCUCAUGUAAAAGUGCGGGGCUCAACUCCGUAGCGCGUGAGAAACUGCCAUUCUUGAGUGCCGGAGAGGAAAGCGGAAUUCCCAGUGUAGCGGUGAAAUGCGUAGAUAUCAGGAGGAACACCGGCGGCGAAGGCGGCCCUCUGGAUCGUUGCUGACGCUGAGACGCGAAAGCGUGGGGAGCAAACAGG
This 252-nucleotide ribosomal RNA is filed under the name uncultured prokaryote. RNAcentral's name for it is "partial 16S ribosomal RNA". It matches the Rfam family "Bacterial small subunit ribosomal RNA", at positions 524 to 776 of the family's 1533-position model. The record is from RNAcentral.